Molecule: unclassified non-coding RNA, 347 nt
Filed under: soil metagenome
Description: partial contains 5.8S ribosomal RNA, internal transcribed spacer 2, and large subunit ribosomal RNA
Rfam family: 5.8S ribosomal RNA (bases 1-120)
Source: RNAcentral
GAUGAAGAACGCAGCGAAAUGCGAUAAGUAAUGUGAAUUGCAGAAUUCAGUGAAUCAUCGAAUCUUUGAACGCACAUUGCGCCCGCCAGUAUUCUGGCGGGCAUGCCUGUCCGAGCGUCAUUUCAACCCUCGAACCCCUCCGGGGGGUCGGCGUUGGGGAUCGGCACUUACCUGCCGGCCCCGAAAUACAGUGGCGGUCUCGCCGCAGCCUCUCCUGCGCAGUAGUUUGCACACUCGCACCGGGAGCGCGGCGCGUCCACGGCCGUAAAACAACCCAAACUUCUGAAAUGUUGACCUCGGAUCAGGUAGGAAUACCCGCUGAACUUAAGCAUAUCAAUAGCGGAGGA